GCGCCUGUAGCUCAGCAGGAUAGAGCAACGGACUUCUAAUCCGUAGGUCGCAAGUUCGAAUCUUGCCAGGCGCGCCA
This 77-nucleotide transfer RNA is filed under the name Deltaproteobacteria bacterium RIFOXYD12_FULL_57_12. RNAcentral describes it as "tRNA-Arg". It matches the Rfam family "tRNA". Rfam says of the family: Transfer RNA (tRNA) molecules are approximately 80 nucleotides in length. Their secondary structure includes four short double-helical elements and three loops (D, anti-codon, and T loops). Lineage: Bacteria; Deltaproteobacteria. The record is from RNAcentral.